CACGUAGGGGGCAAGCGUUGUCCGGAUUUAUUGGGCGUAAAGAGCUCGUAGGUGGCUGAGUAAGUCGGAUGUUAAAUCCCCAGGCUCAACCUGGGACACCACCCGAUACUGCUCUGGCUAGAGUCCGGUAGGGGAGCGUGGAAUUCCUGGUGUAGCGGUGAAAUGCGUAGAUAUCUGGAGGAACACCGGUGGCGAAGGCGGCAUCCUGGACCGAUACUGACGCUGAGGAGCGAAAGCCAGGGGAGCAAACGGG
RNAcentral lists this ribosomal RNA (253 nucleotides) under uncultured bacterium. RNAcentral's name for it is "partial 16S ribosomal RNA". It matches the Rfam family "Bacterial small subunit ribosomal RNA", at positions 524 to 776 of the family's 1533-position model. The record is from RNAcentral.